This 253-nucleotide ribosomal RNA is filed under the name uncultured bacterium. RNAcentral describes it as "partial 16S ribosomal RNA". It matches the Rfam family "Bacterial small subunit ribosomal RNA", at positions 524 to 776 of the family's 1533-position model. The record is from RNAcentral.
UACGGAGGAUCCAAGCGUUAUCAGGAAUCAUUGGGUUUAAAGGGUCCGUAGGCGGGCCUGUAAGUCAGUGGUGAAAUCUCCCCGCUCAACGGGGAAACGGCCAUUGAUACUGCAGGCCUUGAAUUAUUGGGAAGUAACUAGAAUAUGUAGUGUAGCGGUGAAAUGCUUAGAUAUUACAUGGAAUACCGAUUGCGAAGGCAGGUUACUACCAAUGGAUUGACGCUGAUGGACGAAAGCGUGGGGAGCGAACAGG